Molecule: ribosomal RNA, 492 nt
Filed under: uncultured bacterium
Lineage: Bacteria
Description: partial 16S ribosomal RNA
Rfam family: Bacterial small subunit ribosomal RNA
Source: RNAcentral
AGUGAACGCUGGCGGUAGGCCUAACACAUGCAAGUCGAACGGCAGCACAGUAAGAGCUUGCUCUUACGGGUGGCGAGUGGCGGACGGGUGAGGAAUACAUCGGAAUCUACUUUUUCGUGGGGGAUAACGUAGGGAAACUUACGCUAAUACCGCAUACGACCUACGGGUGAAAGCAGGGGAUCUUCGGACCUUGCGCGAAUGAAUGAGCCGAUGUCGGAUUAGCUAGUUGGCGGGGUAAAGGCCCACCAAGGCGACGAUCCGUAGCUGGUCUGAGAGGAUGGUCGGCCACACUGGAACUGAGACACGGUCCAGACUCCUACGGGAGGCAGCAGUGGGGAAUAUUGGACAAUGGGCGCAAGCCUGGUCCAGCCAUACCGCGUGGGUGGAGAAGGCCUUCGGGUUGUAAAGCCCUUUUGUUGGGAAAGAAAAGCAGCAGGUUAAUACCCCGCUGUUCUGACGGUACCCAAAGAAUAAGCACCGGCUAACUUCGUG